AUAGAGAGAACUGAACCACAGAGAGAUGAAUAGGGUUCUCUUGAGGAAAGCAUUUAAUUUUUUUGCCACAACUUGUUGCUACCUAUUUGAGAAGAUGAUCAA
This is a long non-coding RNA of Gavialis gangeticus (Gharial), 102 nucleotides long. RefSeq lists it as uncharacterized. NCBI's taxonomy places the organism in Eukaryota, Metazoa, Chordata, Crocodylia, Gavialidae. The record is from RefSeq and is a predicted model, not a curated record. The transcript has 3 exons.